GACGAACGCUGGCGGCGUGCUUAACACAUGCGAGUCGAACGGAAAGGCCCUGCUUUUGUGGGGUGCUCGAGUGGCGAACGGGUGAGUAACACGUGAGUAACCUGCCCUUGACUUUGGGAUAACUUCAGGAAACUGGGGCUAAUACCGGAUAGGAGCUCCUGCUGCACGGUGGGGGUUGGAAAGUUUCGGCGGUUGGGGAUGGACUCGCGGCUUAUCAGCUUGUUGGUGGGGUAGUGGCUUACCAAGGCUUUGACGGGUAGCCGGCCUGAGAGGGUGACCGGCCACAUUGGGACUGAGAUACGGCCCAGACUCCUACGGGAGGCAGCAGUGGGGAAUAUUGCACAAUGGGCGGAAGCCUGAUGCAGCAACGCCGCGUGCGGGAUGACGGCCUUCGGGUUGUAAACCGCUUUCGCCUGUGACGAAGCGUGAGUGACGGUAAUGGGUAAAGAAGCACCGGCUAACUACGUG
Molecule: ribosomal RNA, 468 nt
Filed under: uncultured bacterium
Lineage: Bacteria
Description: partial 16S ribosomal RNA
Rfam family: Bacterial small subunit ribosomal RNA
Source: RNAcentral